This is an unclassified non-coding RNA of Pongo abelii (Sumatran orangutan), 148 nucleotides long. It matches the Rfam family "Metazoan signal recognition particle RNA". From Rfam's summary of the family: The signal recognition particle (SRP) is a universally conserved ribonucleoprotein. It is involved in the co-translational targeting of proteins to membranes. The eukaryotic SRP consists of a 300-nucleotide 7S RNA and six proteins: SRPs 72, 68, 54, 19, 14, and 9. Lineage: Eukaryota; Metazoa; Chordata; Mammalia; Primates; Hominidae. The record is from Ensembl.
GCUGGGCACAGUAGCGCAUGCCUGUAGUCCCAGCUACUCGGGAGGCUGAGACAGGAGAAUUGCUUGAACCCAGGAGGCAGAGGUUGCAGUGAGCCAAGAUUGCGCCACUGCACUCCAGCCUGGGUGACAGAGCAAGACUCCGUCUCAA